GUUCAGAGUGGCUUUGGGAUGCAUGAUAAGACUGUUAUAAACACUGGCAGACCCUGUGUGUUGAGUUGUUUAGUUGAGAUAUCUAAGUUGAUGUUUUUAAGGCUGCUCUAUUUUUUUAGCCGAAUAACAUUAUACCAUAUGCAUUCUUCCAUGGUUUAUAAAGUAUUCUAAGCCUAUUUGCAUAACUUUUCUAGUUGCUUUAGUGUAUAACUUCAUCUUAAAUACCAGCUAAAUAACUAAUCACCAUUGAAGUUAGAUGUCAGAAUUGAGAUUGGGCAGUUCUUUGUGGCUUAAAUUGCUGAUUUUACCGAUAAUGUUAUUUGUCUGCAUAAUAAACAUACUUGUCUUGAUGUUCAAGCAGAAAAAGAUUUUGUAAAUU
Molecule: unclassified non-coding RNA, 379 nt
Filed under: Hevea brasiliensis (rubber tree)
Lineage: Eukaryota; Viridiplantae; Streptophyta; Magnoliopsida; Malpighiales; Euphorbiaceae
Source: RNAcentral